Molecule: long non-coding RNA, 1065 nt
Organism: Chiroxiphia lanceolata (lance-tailed manakin)
Lineage: Eukaryota; Metazoa; Chordata; Aves; Passeriformes; Pipridae
Exons: 8
Source: RefSeq, a predicted model, not a curated record
AAUUUAUAGUGGUUUGUUGGUUUGGGGUUGGUUUUCAGAAGUGACCUGGAAACUCAGUGGGUCAGGUUCCAAUGGCACAGACGUGACCCCAGCGUGCGUGGCUGGAAGUGAGCAGGCCCUGGACAUUGAGCUGGUCAAACAAACGGGCUCAGCUGGAUGUUGGGAAUGAAGGACAUCCCUGAACUUGGGUGAGAUCAAAGGAAAUGUCGACCAUGAUCUUCCAGGGAGUGCUGCACUUUCCCAACCGCUUAGGAAAUGAGUGGAAUUCCCUCCAGGAUGAACCAGGCUGGGAAUCGAGAUAGGAGUGAAACAACCCAUAUUUGAAAUUACUGCUGUAAAACAUCCCUGCCUGGAAUUUCAGUUUGGUCCAACGAGCAGGAAGGUGAUUCAGCUCUUUGCUUAUUGGACUUUGUCAGCUUUCCAUGGCUGAAGCAGAAUCUGAUGGAAGGACACAGCUCCCUGUCACUUGCAAAGCAGGGAUGGAUUUCUGAAAGGAACUGUCCUGCGCUGGGAAACGUCUCUGAGAAGCCCCUGGGAUCUGCUGGGUGUUCCUGGAGAAGGGACACGAGGGGACUGUCCCUCCCUGGCCACCGCAGGGCUGUCUCCCAGAAGAUGGAGCUCUUUCCCCAGCACUGCUGAUGGAGACCUUGUCUGUAUCACAGGCCCAUAAGGCUGGGACAGCUGGGACAUAGGAAUGCUCCUUGUGAAGCACUUGGAAACAUGCAGUUGAGCCCUCAAAACCUCUGAUGGAUUUUUUAGACGUGUUUCAGUGGCAGCAGAGUGGCCUGGCAGGAAGGUUCCAGAGCUCAGACCCUGUUGUCCUGAACUGGGACUAAAGCACUAUUUAGCAUUGCUUUGCGAAGACUAAAUCCCCGGUUUGAACAGCACAGGACUGGGCCAAAGCAGCUCCAUCGAACACCCGGCGGGAGAGAGAGCAGGGAAUGAACCUCGGGCACAGCCCAGGGACACGGGAGAGAGGGGGAUAAAGGCAGGGUGGUGGGGGUGUGAAAUAAAGACAAUUUGGGGGAGUGAAAUAAAGACAUUUUGGGGGGGGGGUGAAAUGAA